UACGAAGGGGGCGAGCGUUGUUCGGAUUUACUGGGCGUAAAGGGCGCGCAGGCGGCUCAUUUUGUCAGGCGUGAAAGCCCCGGGCUUAACCUGGGAACUGCGUUUGAUACGGAUGGGCUAGAGUUCGGGAGAGGAGAGUGGAAUUCCCAGUGUAGAGGUGAAAUUCGUAGAUAUUCGGAGGAACACCAGUGGCGAAGGCGGCUCACUGGCUCGGUACUGACGCUGAGGUGCGAAAGCGUGGGGAGCAAACAGG
RNAcentral lists this ribosomal RNA (253 nucleotides) under uncultured bacterium. RNAcentral describes it as "partial 16S ribosomal RNA". It matches the Rfam family "Bacterial small subunit ribosomal RNA", at positions 524 to 776 of the family's 1533-position model. The record is from RNAcentral.